RNAcentral lists this unclassified non-coding RNA (425 nucleotides) under soil metagenome. RNAcentral's name for it is "partial contains 5.8S ribosomal RNA, internal transcribed spacer 2, and large subunit ribosomal RNA". The stretch from base 1 to 120 matches the Rfam family "5.8S ribosomal RNA", at positions 35 to 154 of the family's 154-position model. The record is from RNAcentral.
GAUGAAGAACGCAGCGAAAUGCGAUAAGUAAUGUGAAUUGCAGAAUUGAGUGAAUCAUCGAAUCUUUGAACGCACCUUGCGCUCCUUGGUAUUCCAAGGAGCAUGCCUGUUUGAGUAUCAUUAAAUUAUCAACUGUGCCAAUUUGGUUACAGAUUGGAUGUGGGAGAUUCUUUUUGCAGGCCUUUGACUUCUCUUUGAGAAAAAAAAUAAAAGGUCGGCUCUCCUGAAAUGUAUUAGCAGUGCCUUUGUUGGUUCAUUAGGUGUGAUAAAUUGUCUACAUCUUCGCAUGAUACCUUCAUUUGUAAAGGUCAUAUUGCUUCUAAAUUGUCUUUGAUUGGACGCAAAACAUAUAUAAUGUUUGACAAACUUGAUCUCAAAUCAGGCAGGACUACCCGCUGAACUUAAGCAUAUCAAUAAGCGGAGGA